This 70-nucleotide transfer RNA is filed under the name Brassica rapa (field mustard). It matches the Rfam family "tRNA". From Rfam's summary of the family: Transfer RNA (tRNA) molecules are approximately 80 nucleotides in length. Their secondary structure includes four short double-helical elements and three loops (D, anti-codon, and T loops). Further hydrogen bonds mediate the characteristic L-shaped molecular structure. tRNAs have two regions of fundamental functional importance: the anti-codon, which is responsible for specific mRNA codon recognition, and the 3' end, to which the tRNAs corresponding amino acid is attached (by aminoacyl-tRNA synthetases). tRNAs cope with the degeneracy of the genetic code in two manners: having more than one tRNA (with a specific anti-codon) for a particular amino acid; and 'wobble' base-pairing, i.e. permitting non-standard base-pairing at the 3rd anti-codon position. Lineage: Eukaryota; Viridiplantae; Streptophyta; Magnoliopsida; Brassicales; Brassicaceae. The record is from Rfam by way of RNAcentral.
GCAUCAGUGGUCUAGUGGUAGAAUAGUACCCUGCCACGAUACAGACCCUGGUCGAUUCCCGGCUGGUGCA